ACAAAGAACUAAUCGCCUUUGGUAGAGAAUUAAAACAAGAGAUAGAGUGUGAAACCCGACCCUUUAGAAUAACAAGAACAACAAUAAGCCUAAACUUAUCACCUUUCUUGAAUACCUAGAAGUGAUCUAAGAUUUCAAAAGAGUUUAAUCUUACCACCUUAAGUUGAGUCUUGAAGGUUGAAGAAUAAAUCCAAGAGAGUAGCCACAUACAAGAGCCACAUACAAGAGUGCAAGAAAAA
Molecule: long non-coding RNA, 239 nt
Filed under: Nicotiana benthamiana
Lineage: Eukaryota; Viridiplantae; Streptophyta; Magnoliopsida; Solanales; Solanaceae
Description: long non-coding RNA (NBEN_LNC035914)
Source: RNAcentral